CCCCCACAUAUUAAUAUUCCUGGGCUCCUGGCUCCGUCCCUGGUAUGGGUAUGCGCUUGAGAAUAAUCAAAGUACAUCAAUCACGUGGCCAGAAGGUCAUUUCCAACUGACCUCUCUCUCUAACCCACACUCUCUAUGAAACUCCAUCUCAUCUCUCUCUAAACCUCGACCUACCUCCAUCGUCUGGAAAAUGAUUCCAACGGUGGCUCCACCUUGAACCACCCUUCAAUCCUCAUGUUUUCUAGGUUUUCGAUUGAAGUUCAACUGGAACCUUCAAUCAAACAUAAAAUCGCCCCUCUAACCAUCGUAGGCCCUCACCAGUGACCACCCGCCACCAUCAAAACCCAUAUAUCCCAUAAACAUUUGUAAAUUACCUCAAACUUUCCUCUAAACCACAGAUCGGCCCCCUAGUUACUGAUUCAGACUCUCCAGACCCUAAACACAAACUUUUGGCAAACCCUAAACCGAACCCAAACAAACCCUUAUCCAUUCAUCCACAGUCAUAUGCAAAAACAAAAACAUAAGCAAACAUACACCAAUCAGCAAGACAUAAAAAAGGGUUUAACAUUAGUGGUACGAGCCUACGGGAAGGAGGACUUUCUCGAUCACAAAGGUAAAGUCUCUUCUCAUUUUUUGGUUAUGAAUUCUUCUCUCUUUUUUUCUGCUCUUGCUCCUUCUAACUCCUUUUCUUCAAAGUCUGGAUUAACAGAGCUAAUGCUCAAGUCAAUUAGGGUUUCAACGUGAAACCCUAAAUAUCUUAAUCGGAUCAUUGAUUGUUCUGUUUGGGAUUUUGCAGUGAUCUAGUGUUCUCUCUCUUUCAAGUUUAGUUUUAGGUUUUUAUAGCAUUAGGGGUUGAUUCUGAUUAGGAAAAUAUUUUAGGGCAAAUUGAUUAAGAAUGCAACAAUCCAUUGAUUGCAUGUAUCUGGUCCAAUGUCUAUGUAAAUCCUAAUUUUUUAUGAUGUAUCAGUAAUAUGUUUUUAGAAAGUUUUGAUAUGUAUUUUUUCAUUACUUCUUCAUUUUGAUUUAC
RNAcentral lists this long non-coding RNA (1027 nucleotides) under Lathyrus oleraceus (garden pea). Its description in RNAcentral is "Pisum sativum (pea) long non-coding RNA (PSAT_LNC002463)". The record is from RNAcentral. Lineage: Eukaryota; Viridiplantae; Streptophyta; Magnoliopsida; Fabales; Fabaceae.